GGAUGUGGGACUUUUGGAAAAUGUGGAGGAAGCAGGGCCUCAAAGCUUCCUGUCUGGACUUUUCUUCCUAGUUUCCCCACCCAGUCAUUGAAGCUGCCUCCUCUUACUCCUGAUUCUUCAGAAAUUUGAAUGUUAAGCAACCAGUUAAACCAACGUCAGUAUUAAUUUUUUCAAGCUGUCGAGGGGAGCCCUUAGAGGGGACAACUUCUCCUUGGAGUGGCGGCCAGGCUGGGCCUCACCAGGUGUGAUCAUGGUCUUAGAUACCAUGGAGUUCCCGUCUCCGCAGAGGCAGGCUCUUCCCAGCUUCAUGAGAGGUGGAGAAUUGCAACUUCUUCCUCCCCGGGAACAGUCUAUCUAGCUCCUGAGAGGAAUCUCAAAGAUCUUUCUUCUCAAGACAUCGAAGAAAAACUGAGAGGCUGUAGCUCGACCUAGUUUCUGUGAAGAAUUUUGUCAAGUGAUCCCUCUCUGACCCUGAGCCUCUUUAUUUGGAUUUUGUGCCUUGAGCACCAAGAGAAAUUGCACUCUGUGUUGCCUGGACAGCUGGGGUGGUGAUUCACAGGAAGGGUCCAAGCCAUCACUACACCUGACUCAAGCCGGAAAGAGCUCCCAGAGGACUUCCUGGAACUGCCAGCCUCAGCCUGAGAUGCGGGAUAUUCGUCCCCAAGGAGCGAGGAGGGACAGCUCGCCGUCUUUGCAGGUGAGGAAAAAUGCUGGCAGGUGGCGCAAGCAAGGACAUCUACGCAUAGAAUUCUGACAGCAGCUGGACCCUCAGCUUCUUCAGAAGACGAGACCCCCUGCCUAGGUGAUCUGGCCUGACACCCCUCUGGAGGCCUCCCACAAGCAUGCUGCAACCAAGCCAGAAAGAGCUGAGACCAGACCUGCUGUCCCUAAAGAUGGGCCCAGAAUGUCGGGGUGAAGCUGUAGGAACAGGGUGAAAGCUGGUGGUGUGGGCAAAGAGACCAGCUAUGGAGUGGUCAGGGGAUUCCGGGAGGUGCAUGGUUAUGUUGCAGACCCACCCAGGACAAGGGUGGCUGUGGAAGAAUGGCAAAUAAACACAUGGCAAAGUCUCAGAGGCUGUGCAUUAUGCCAUGAGAAAACAUCGACGGCCGAGUUAGGCAGACAAGCCAAGUGGUCUCCACAAGAGUAGGCGGGGAUCCGAAAUUCAGAGAACCUGCAGCUUUCUGGGCAUCCUCACUACACAGGAGGAUG
RNAcentral lists this long non-coding RNA (1209 nucleotides) under Pongo abelii (Sumatran orangutan). RNAcentral's name for it is "lncRNA (ENSPPYG00000040132.1)". Lineage: Eukaryota; Metazoa; Chordata; Mammalia; Primates; Hominidae. The record is from RNAcentral.